UAAUACGGAGGGGGCUAGCGUUGUUCGGAAUUACUGGGCGUAAAGGGCGCGUAGGCGGCGCGAUAAGUUGGGCGUGAAAGGCCCGGGCUCAACCCGGGGACUGCGCUUGAUACUGUCGCGCUGUGAGUCCGGGAGAGGAUGGCGGAAUUCCCAGUGUAGAGGUGAAAUUCGUAGAUAUUGGGAAGAACACCGGUGGCGAAGGCGGCCAUCUGGACCGGCACUGACGCUGAGGCGCGAAAGCGUGGGGAGCAAACAGGAUUAGAUACCCUGGUAGUCCACGCCGUAAACGAUGCGUGCUAGACGUUGGGGGGCUUGCCCUUCGGUGUCGUCGCUAACGCAUGAAGCACGCCGCCUGGGGAGUACGGUCGCAAGAUUA
This 376-nucleotide ribosomal RNA is filed under the name uncultured bacterium. RNAcentral describes it as "bacterial SSU rRNA". It matches the Rfam family "Bacterial small subunit ribosomal RNA", at positions 521 to 896 of the family's 1533-position model. The record is from RNAcentral.